Molecule: ribosomal RNA, 442 nt
Filed under: uncultured bacterium
Lineage: Bacteria
Description: partial 16S ribosomal RNA
Rfam family: Bacterial small subunit ribosomal RNA
Source: RNAcentral
CCUACGGGUGGCAGCAGUGGGGAAUAUUGGGCAAUGGGCGCAAGCCUGACCCAGCAACGCCGCGUGAAGGAAGAAGGCUUUCGGGUUGUAAACUUCUUGUGGCAGGGAAGAGGAGAAGACGGGACCGGACGAAUAAGCCAAGGCUAACUACGUGCCAGCAGCCGCGGCAAUACGGAGGUGGCAAGCGUUGUCCGGAUUUACUGGGUGUAAAGGGCGUGUAGCCGGGUUGACAAGUCAGAUGUGAAAGCCUGCGGCUUACCCGCAGAACUGCCUUUGAAACUGUUGAUCUUGAGUGCUGGGGCGGCAGGCGGAAUUCCUGGUGUAGCGGUGAAAUGCGUAGAUAUUAGGCGGAACACCAGUGGCGAAGGCGGUCUGCUGGACCGCAACUGACGGUGAGGCGCGAACGCGUGGGUAGCAAACAGGAUUAGCUACCCUUGUAGUC